AGAGUUUGAUCAUGGCUCAGGAUGAACGCUAGCUACAGGCUUAACACAUGCAAGUCGAGGGGAAACGAUAUUGGAAGCUUGCUUCCGAUAGGCGUCGACCGGCGCACGGGUGAGUAACGCGUAUCCAACCUGCCCAUCACUUGGGGAUAACCUUGCGAAAGUAAGACUAAUACCCAAUGACGUCUCUAGAAGACAUCUGAAGGAGAUUAAAGAUUUAUCGGUGAUGGAUGGGGAUGCGUCUGAUUAGCUUGUUGGCGGGGUAACGGCCCACCAAGGCAACGAUCAGUAGGGGUUCUGAGAGGAAGGUCCCCCACAUUGGAACUGAGACACGGUCCAAACUCCUACGGGAGGCAGCAGUGAGGAAUAUUGGUCAAUGGGCGAGAGCCUGAACCAGCCAAGUAGCGUGCAGGAAGACGGCCCUAUGGGUUGUAAACUGCUUUUAUAAGGGAAUAAAGUUAGUCUCGUGAGACUUUUUGCAUGUACCUUAUGAAUAGGGACCGGCUAAUUCCGUGCCAGCAGCCGCGGUAAUACGGAAGGUCCGGGCGUUAUCCGGAUUUAUUGGGUUUAAAGGGAGCGUAGGCCGGAGAUUAAGCGUGUUGUGAAAUGUAGACGCUCAACGUCUGCACUGCAGCGCGAACUGGUUUCCUUGAGUACGCACAAAGUGGGCGGAAUUCGUGGUGUAGCGGUGAAAUGCUUAGAUAUCACGAAGAACUCCGAUUGCGAAGGCAGCUCACUGGAGCGCAACUGACGCUGAAGCUCGAAAGUGCGGGUAUCGAACAGGAUUAGAUACCCUGGUAGUCCACGCCGUAAACGAUGAAUGCUAGGUGUAGGAGGUAUCGACCCCUUCUGUGCCGGAGUUAACGCAAUAAGCAUUCCGCCUGGGGAGUACGGCCGCAAGGCUGAAACUCAAAGGAAUUGACGGGGGCCCGCACAAGCGGUGGAGUAUGUGGUUUAAUUCGACGCAACGCGAAGAACCUUACCAGGGCUUGACAUUGAGUGAAAGGACAAGAGAUUGUCCCCUCUCUUCGGAGACACGAAAACAGGUGGUGCAUGGCUGUCGUCAGCUCGUGUCGUGAGAUGUUGGGUUAAGUCCCGCAACGAGCGCAACCCCUAUUCUUUGUUGCCAGCACGUAAUGGUGGGAACUCAAAGGAGACUGCCGCGGACAACGCGGAGGAAGGCGGGGAUGACGUCAAGUCAUCAUGCCCCUUAUGUCCUGGGCUACACACGUACUACAAUGGGAUGGACAGAGAGCAGCGAGGCCGCGAGGCCAAGCGAACCCCAUAAACCAUCUCCCAGUUCGGAUUGCAGGCUGCAACCCGCCUGCAUGAAGUUGGAAUCGCUAGUAAUCGCAGGUCAGCAUACUGCGGUGAAUACGUUCCCGGGCCUUGUACACACCGCCCGUCACACCACGGAAGUCAUUCACACCCGAAGCCGGCAGGCUAACCUUUUGGAGGCAGCCGUCUAAGGUGGGGGCGAUGACUGGGGUGAAGUCGUAACAAGGUA
This 1504-nucleotide ribosomal RNA is filed under the name metagenome. RNAcentral's name for it is "bacterial SSU rRNA". It matches the Rfam family "Bacterial small subunit ribosomal RNA". The record is from RNAcentral.